AUGUGCCCAGAUGGGAUUAGCUAGUAGGUGGGGUAACGGCUCACCUAGGCGACGAUCCCUAGCUGGUCUGAGAGGAUGACCAGCCACACUGGAACUGAGACACGGUCCAGACUCCUACGGGAGGCAGCAGUGGGGAAUAUUGCACAAUGGGCGCAAGCCUGAUGCAGCCAUGCCGCGUGUGUGAAGAAGGCCUUCGGGUUGUAAAGCACUUUCAGCGGGGAGGAAGGCGUUAAGGUUAAUAACCUCAUCGAUUGACGUUACCCGCAGAAGAAGCACCGGCUAACUCCGUGCCAGCAGCCGCGGUAAUACGGAGGGUGCAAGCGUUAAUCGGAAUUACUGGGCGUAAAGCGCACGCAGGCGGUCUGUCAAGUCGGAUGUGAAAUCCCCGGGCUCAACCUGGGAACUGCAUUCGAAACUGGCAGGCUAGAGUCUUGUAGAGGGGGGUAGAAUUC
Molecule: ribosomal RNA, 452 nt
Filed under: Klebsiella pneumoniae
Lineage: Bacteria; Pseudomonadati; Pseudomonadota; Gammaproteobacteria; Enterobacterales; Enterobacteriaceae
Description: bacterial SSU rRNA
Rfam family: Bacterial small subunit ribosomal RNA
Source: RNAcentral